This 491-nucleotide ribosomal RNA is filed under the name uncultured bacterium. Its description in RNAcentral is "bacterial SSU rRNA". It matches the Rfam family "Bacterial small subunit ribosomal RNA", at positions 15 to 507 of the family's 1533-position model. The record is from RNAcentral.
GAUCAUGGCUCAGGAUGAACGCUAGCGGCAGGCUUAACACAUGCAAGUCGAGGGGUAUAGUUCUUCGGAACUAGAGACCGGCGCACGGGUGCGUAACGCGUAUGCAAUCUACCUUUUACAGGGGAAUAGCCCAGAGAAAUUUGGAUUAAUGCCCCAUAGUAUAGUUUCUUCGCAUGAAGAGAUUAUUAAAGUUCCAACGGUAAAAGAUGAGCAUGCGUCCCAUUAGCUAGAUGGUAAGGUAACGGCUUACCAUGGCGACGAUGGGUAGGGGUCCUGAGAGGGAGAUCCCCCACACUGGUACUGAGACACGGACCAGACUCCUACGGGAGGCAGCAGUGAGGAAUAUUGGUCAAUGGGUGCAAGCCUGAACCAGCCAUCCCGCGUGAAGGACGACUGCCCUAUGGGUUGUAAACUUCUUUUGUAUAGGGAUAAACCUUUCCACGUGUGGAAAGCUGAAGGUACUAUACGAAUAAGCACCGGCUAACUCCGUG